Molecule: transfer RNA, 75 nt
Filed under: Halostella sp. JP-L12
Lineage: Archaea; Methanobacteriati; Methanobacteriota; Halobacteria; Halobacteriales; Natronoarchaeaceae
Rfam family: tRNA
About the family: Transfer RNA (tRNA) molecules are approximately 80 nucleotides in length.
Source: Rfam by way of RNAcentral
GGGCGGAUAGCCUAGCUCGGACAAGGCAUUGGCUUCCGGAGCCAAAGAUCGCGGGUUCGAAUCCCGUUCCGCCCG